CCUACGGGAGGCAGCAGUGAGGAAUAUUGGUCAAUGGCCGGAAGGCUGAACCAGCCAAGCCGCGUGAAGGACGAAGGUGCCAAGCAUUGUAAACUUCUUUUGUCAAGGGACAAAAUCAGGCUCGAGAGCCUGACCGAGGGUACUUGAAGAAAAAGCAUCGGCUAACUCCGUGCCAGCAGCCGCGGUAAUACGGAGGAUGCGAGCGUUAUCCGGAUUUACUGGGUGUAAAGGGGGCGCAGACGGCAAUGCAAGCCAGGAGUGAAAGUCCGGGGCCCAACCCCGGGACUGCUCUUGGAACUGCAUGGCUGGAGUACAGGAGGGGCAGGCGGAAUGCCUAGUGUAGCGGUGAAAUGCGUAGAUAUUAGGAGGAACACCGGUGGCGAAGGCGGCCUGCUGGACUGUGACUGACGUUGAGGCCCGAAGGCGUGGGGAGCAAACAGGAUUAGAUACCCUUGUAGUC
Molecule: ribosomal RNA, 460 nt
Filed under: uncultured bacterium
Lineage: Bacteria
Description: partial 16S ribosomal RNA
Rfam family: Bacterial small subunit ribosomal RNA
Source: RNAcentral